Molecule: long non-coding RNA, 480 nt
Filed under: Homo sapiens (human)
Lineage: Eukaryota; Metazoa; Chordata; Mammalia; Primates; Hominidae
Description: HSALNT0287064
Source: RNAcentral
CAGAAAGUAAACUGUGGUAGCAACAGAACUCCAUACAUUCCCGUAACACUCAAAGGUACUGUAGCCAUCCUGUAGCUUGAGCACCGCUCUCCCGUCAUCCGUAUGAAGGAAGACACCUGAUUUGGAUUGGUCUCUUGACUGUUUCCCUGAAGGCAUAUAUAGAUCACAGCGUUGACAAGGACUUCCCAGGGCUGAAGACGUUCAGGGCAUUCAGCUCCAUCUCUGAAUAAAUCAGGGCAGAGUUGGCAGUGCCAGACAGGUGUGCCCUGCUCCCAGCAUCAGGCCUGGACCCAGUGGAUUUGCAAGUCAAGAAUUCCAGAGAAAAUGAUAUUCUUGGAGCUGCUGGUAUCCUUCGAGCUUCGUAUGACUUUGAAAGAAAAAAAAUACCCACUUAAUCCUGAGUGCCUCCAAAUCAUAUUUGCUGAUAAACCCUGGAUUUAAGUUGUAAACAAAUUAAAGAUUAAAAACUUUCCUUUGGCA